GCCCCCGUAGCUCAGUGGAAGAGCGGCAGGUUUUUACCCUGCGCGUCGCAAGUUCGAUCCUUGCCGGGGGCA
This 72-nucleotide transfer RNA is filed under the name Solirubrobacterales bacterium. RNAcentral describes it as "tRNA-Lys". It matches the Rfam family "tRNA". From Rfam's summary of the family: Transfer RNA (tRNA) molecules are approximately 80 nucleotides in length. Lineage: Bacteria; Bacillati; Actinomycetota; Thermoleophilia; Solirubrobacterales. The record is from RNAcentral. RNAcentral also lists the same sequence under 1 other name.